Molecule: ribosomal RNA, 651 nt
Filed under: Microbacterium hydrocarbonoxydans
Lineage: Bacteria; Bacillati; Actinomycetota; Actinomycetes; Micrococcales; Microbacteriaceae
Description: bacterial SSU rRNA
Rfam family: Bacterial small subunit ribosomal RNA
Source: RNAcentral
UGCUGGGUGGAUCAGUGGCGAACGGGUGAGUAACACGUGAGCAACCUGCCCCUGACUCUGGGAUAAGCGCUGGAAACGGCGUCUAAUACUGGAUACGAACCACGAAGGCAUCUUCAGUGGUUGGAAAGAUUUAUUGGUUGGGGAUGGGCUCGCGGCCUAUCAGCUUGUUGGUGAGGUAAUGGCUCACCAAGGCGUCGACGGGUAGCCGGCCUGAGAGGGUGACCGGCCACACUGGGACUGAGACACGGCCCAGACUCCUACGGGAGGCAGCAGUGGGGAAUAUUGCACAAUGGGCGCAAGCCUGAUGCAGCAACGCCGCGUGAGGGAUGACGGCCUUCGGGUUGUAAACCUCUUUUAGCAGGGAAGAAGCGAAAGUGACGGUACCUGCAGAAAAAGCGCCGGCUAACUACGUGCCAGCAGCCGCGGUAAUACGUAGGGCGCAAGCGUUAUCCGGAAUUAUUGGGCGUAAAGAGCUCGUAGGCGGUUUGUCGCGUCUGCUGUGAAAUCCGGAGGCUCAACCUCCGGCCUGCAGUGGGUACGGGCAGACUAGAGUGCGGUAGGGGAGAUUGGAAUUCCUGGUGUAGCGGUGGAAUGCGCAGAUUCAGGAGGAACACCGAUGGCGAAGGCAGAUCUCUGGGCCGGUAACUGACG